This 477-nucleotide ribosomal RNA is filed under the name uncultured bacterium. Its description in RNAcentral is "bacterial SSU rRNA". It matches the Rfam family "Bacterial small subunit ribosomal RNA", at positions 28 to 490 of the family's 1533-position model. The record is from RNAcentral.
GACGAACGCUGGCGGUGUGCUUAACACAUGCAAGUGGUGCGACGAACCAGAGCUUGCUCUGGGGCAAAGCCGCGAACGGGUGAGUAACACGUGGGGUAAUCUACCCCGAUGACCGGGACAACCCGAGGAAACUCGGGCUAAUACCGGAUGUGGUACGGAGACAUAAGUCUCUUUACUAAAGGUAGCUUCGGCUUCCGCAUUGGGAGGGGCCCGCGGCCCAUUAGCUAGUUGGUGGGGUCAAGGCCUACCAAGGCAACGAUGGGUAGCUGGUCUGAGAGGACGAUCAGCCACACUGGGACUGAGACACGGCCCAGACUCCUACGGGAGGCAGCAGUGGGGAAUCUUGCGCAAUGCGCGAAAGCGUGACGCAGCAACACCGCGUGAGGGAAGACGGCCUUAGGGUUGUAAACCUCUUUCAGAUGGGACGAAGGUGAUGCGGUGAAUAGCCGAUGUCAUUGACGGUACCGUCAGAAGAAG